Molecule: ribosomal RNA, 492 nt
Filed under: uncultured bacterium
Lineage: Bacteria
Description: partial 16S ribosomal RNA
Rfam family: Bacterial small subunit ribosomal RNA
Source: RNAcentral
AGUGAACGCUGGCGGUAGGCCUAACACAUGCAAGUCGAACGGCAGCACAGUAAGAGCUUGCUCUUACGGGUGGCGAGUGGCGGACGGGUGAGGAAUACUUCGGAAUCUACUUUUUCGUGGGGGAUAACGUAGGGAAACUUACGCUAAUACCGCAUACGACCUACGAGUGAAAGCAGGGGAUCUUCGGACCUUGCGCGAUUGAAUGAGCCGAUGUCGGAUUAGCUAGUUGGCGGGGUAAAGGCCCACCAAGGCGACGAUCCGUAGCUGGUCUGAGAGGAUGAUCAGCCACACUGGAACUGAGACACGGUCCAGACUCCUACGGGAGGCAGCAGUGGGGAAUAUUGGACAAUGGGCGCAAGCCUGAUCCAGCCAUACCGCGUGGGUGAAGAAGGCCUUCGGGUUGUAAAGCCCUUUUGUUGGGAAAGAAAAGCAGCAGGUUAAUACCCCGCUGUUCUGACGGUACCCAAAGAAUAAGCACCGGCUAACUUCGUG